AGCAUUUGCAGUUGGCAUUUGGACUAUGAUUCUUAUUUUCUUGGAAACAUGUUCUUUCUCCUCAUUUAUUUAAUGAAGAUCCAUGGUUUGUUGAUCAUGGCUUGUCGUUAUGCACAUAUUUUUCUUGUCUAACUUCAUUCUUCCAUCCAUUUUUUCAAUACCUAGCACUGCAGCUAGGGAUACGAUCCUUACUAGCAUAAAAAGACCUGAUCCCUGUUCUGAUUGAAUUAAAUUCUAAAAAAUCACCCACAUAAAGAUUAAUUUACAACUGUUCUCUGAAGGACAGACAGCAUGGUUUUUAUGAGAGCAUAUAAUGGUAAUAAGGGACAUCUUACGUAUGGAAAAGAUGACUGUCAUGUAUAACUACUUAAAACAAAAAAUUAAUACAAAAAGAUGCCUGAGAUAAAAUGUUAAGGAUGAUUAUAGUUAAUUAGGACACAGGAUGAAUGUGAUAAUUCUGGAAUAAUGGAGUAUACAAAGGCCCUGUGGCAGGAGAGAACAUAUUUGAAGGAUUAAGCAACUGAAGUUUACAUGGUGAGGGCAAAUGCUGUGGAAGUUUCCCUGUUCAAAUGAAUUCUUUGCAAAAAUUACUGAUGUAACGUGGACUUGGCAACCCUAAACAAGCAAGAUCUUUUGGGUUUUCCAGUGUGAGAUUUAUAUCCUAAAAUAUAUCAAAUGAAUUUAGGAAAUAUCAUAAAUACCCAACUUCAACUGAGGCAUAGGGUAGAAAGGCAAUAAAUGUUAGUUGUAUACAGUAAAUGAUGACUUCAUAGCAUGUACUGCUAAUAGCAUUUUCUUCCUAUUAGAAAUAGCUUGCCAGUCAAUAGAAGAAAGUUCAAUGAGCACUGCUCUUAAAAUAAAUAUUGCUUUUAUUUUCAGUGAAGUGAAACCAUCACCUUUGUCUUGCUCUUAUAUUUCCAAUUGCUAUGAAAAUAAAUCUGCCUAGGAGUGCAUCAAGCAGCCAUUGUGUAGCUCUAAAUUCAAGGUACUGUCAACCUGGCUCAUCUAUGAAGGACAUUUGGUUAUUCACCUUCAGAACAUUCAUUGCCUAGGACUGUGAGAUGUGCCUACCAAAUUGCAUAAUUUUUACGGAAUA
RNAcentral lists this long non-coding RNA (1096 nucleotides) under Marmota monax (woodchuck). Lineage: Eukaryota; Metazoa; Chordata; Mammalia; Rodentia; Sciuridae. The record is from RNAcentral.